UUCCAGACUCCUACGGGAGGCAGCAGUGGGGAAUAUUGUACAAUGGGGGAAACCCUGAUGCAGCGACGCCGCGUGAGUGAAGAAGUAUUUCGGUAUGUAAAGCUCUAUCAGCAGGGAAGAAAAUGACGGUACCUGACUAAGAAGCCCCGGCUAACUACGUGCCAGCGGCCGCGGUAAUACGUAGGGGGCAAGCGUUAUCCGGAUUUACUGGGUGUAAAGGGAGCGUAGACGGCAUGGCAAGUCAGAUGUGAAAGCCCGGGGCUCAACCCCGGGACUGCAUUUGAAACUGUCAGGCUGGGGUGCAGGAGAGGUAAGUGGAAUUCCUAGUGUAGCGGUGAAAUGCGUAGAUAUUAGGAGGAACACCAGUGGCGAAGGCGGCUUACUGGACUGUAACUGACGUUGAGGCUCGAAAGCGUGGGGAGCAAACAGGAUUAGAUACCCUAGUA
RNAcentral lists this ribosomal RNA (446 nucleotides) under uncultured bacterium. RNAcentral describes it as "bacterial SSU rRNA". It matches the Rfam family "Bacterial small subunit ribosomal RNA", at positions 329 to 792 of the family's 1533-position model. The record is from RNAcentral.